RNAcentral lists this long non-coding RNA (1987 nucleotides) under Musa acuminata (dwarf banana). Its description in RNAcentral is "long non-coding RNA (MACU_LNC002912)". The record is from RNAcentral. Lineage: Eukaryota; Viridiplantae; Streptophyta; Magnoliopsida; Zingiberales; Musaceae.
CUUGAGACAGAUCAAGUCGGCUAGCUUUGCAUUUAAUUUCCAGAUCUUGAAUCGUACCAAGAAACGUGUCUAUUACUCGAUUAUUUAUCAUCAAGAGGAUUGAUUAAUGUGUUGUUCAUGUAGCAGCGUUGGUGUGUGUUCAAUACAGAGAAAAGAGAUCAUCUUGGGUUUGUACUCGAAGCAAGGAACCAGGAUAUCAGAAGACAAUAGAAAAUGAGAUAUGUUAGAGAAGACAAGAUCUUCAAAGUGUGAUCUCUUGGAUUAAAGUCAGCCUUGCAUGGGAAAACCAGAUCUGUGCAAAGCUCAUCAAGUGCAGAAAGCCACAAAAUUCUCCAAGAGCACAGAAUUUUAAGCAACCCCACACCAAUCUGCAGGAGGAAGUCCAAACUUGAUUGCUUGGGAUAGAAUAAGGUGCAGUGUAUCCAACGCAUGGCUUAUUUAGCUCAGGAAGACACCAAGCCCCAUACCCACACCACCACCACCCAACAAAAGGCAACAGAGUCAUGUUGAACGAGACAACCUCUUCCAUAUCAUGAUCGAAGUCCCCUUUUCCAUCCUAGUGUCGAGAGAUCAUGAGAGGUAGCAAUUGAACUCUCCUUCCUUUUUCUUUGGUCAAGCCACCCAUGAACCCUGAUCUCUAUAGGAUAUGAAGCCCAUGUUGUGUUUCUUUAACUCCUCUUUCUUGGUAAACGAUAGAUUUGCCACCUACUUUUGUUUCUUUUGCACAUGGAGGAACCUUCAGUUCAUGGCUUCGUCUGUUGACAGGCUCAAGGCUGAGAUACUCGAGGCUUUCUUCCCAGAUCGAUCUCAGGCAAGUCCUUGGCGAUCGAGAGCGAGAGGCUGUUGUUUCCUGGAGACUUAGAUGAAUCUUGACGUCUUGACGGGAAAGCUAGCUGUGGUAUGGACAGAGGAGGUAGGAGACCGAGGCGGUUGCGCUCACAAGUGAAUGGCUCCAAGGCAUUGGAUUCGAGCUACUUCACUGCGGAAUUCUUCUUGGUGCUCGUCUGCCUCACUGCCUCACUGCUGGUUCUUCCCCUCGUCUUGCCCGCACUGCCUCCUCCCCCUUCCUCGCUGCUGUUUGUGCCGAUAGGUAUACUUCUUGUGCUGCUGGUCUUGGCCUUCAUGCCGUCCGAUGCUGGGGACAUCGCCUCUUCCCACUUGUGAGCAGCUAAAAGCUUUCCAUUAUGGAUCAAACUGUUCAUUUCUUCUUCUACUCCUCGGUUUCAAUGAAGGCACUAUCGCUUCCGGUGGUUGUUUGAGAUAGUUCAUUCCUGAAUCAUUCGGAUGUGGUUUGGCCAUGAGUUGUAAUCUAAGCUAACCAUAACAUUCUUGUGAGGCAUGCGCAAUCAAAGUGACAAAUUCUGAGAGAACUCAUCAGCAAAUCUUACCGUGAUGUGAUGAUUGAUGUUCAUGGCCACUUAAAAAUAAGCUCUAAAAUUUAUUCUUCACCAUGUCUCAGUCAAAUGUUCAUUGUAAAGCAGCCAGUGACUCGGUUGAACAUACCAGUUAGAGGUAGUCAUUCGUAGCUAUUCUGGAUUGUAAGUUUCUUGGAAACUGCCUAUACUAGUAAAAUACUUGAAGCUUUGUGAGUAUGCAUGUAUCUUAUGUGGAGAUUCUCCGUCGUGUGCGUAUCACAUAUGCUCGAACACAUGGGAGCAGGUAGGUGUUCUUGCAUCACGUUCGGUCAAAAGUGUUCUGUGUUGCAAGAAUGACACCUUUUAAUGGAAUUUUAAUUUUCAUUCAGCAAUCACGUAAGAUAUUACGACGUGAGUUCAAACCCUCAACCCGAGGGAAAAGAAACAAGUGAGGUUGAAAUCUGCAGCACGGCCGACAGGGUGUGUUGCAUCAAAAAUAUACGAGUACCUUACAAGGAAAAAAAAAUCAUCUUAAUUUUAGUCAACACAACCAAAAAUAUGUUCUGGAGGCAGCAAAAGCCUGUCCACUGUUGUUCUUUUUAAUUGAAAUACAAGCAGAAUUAACCUGCUGC